Molecule: ribosomal RNA, 416 nt
Filed under: uncultured bacterium
Lineage: Bacteria
Description: bacterial SSU rRNA
Rfam family: Bacterial small subunit ribosomal RNA
Source: RNAcentral
GCGGCGGACGGGUGAGUAAUGCUUAGGAAUCUGCCUGGUAGUGGGGGACAACGUUUCGAAAGGAACGCUAAUACCGCAUACGUCCUACGGGAGAAAGCAGGGGACCUUCGGGCCUUGCGCUAUCAGAUGAGCCUAGGUCGGAUUAGCUAGUAGGUGAGGUAAUGGCUCACCUAGGCGACGAUCCGUAACUGGUCUGAGAGGAUGAUCAGUCACACUGGAACUGAGACACGGUCCAGACUCCUACGGGAGGCAGCAGUGGGGAAUAUUGGACAAUGGGCGAAAGCCUGAUCCAGCCAUGCCGCGUGUGUGAAGAAGGUCUUCGGAUUGUAAAGCACUUUAAGUUGGGAGGAAGGGCAGUAAGUUAAUACCUUGCUGUUUUGACGUUACCAACAGAAUAAGCACCGGCUAACUUCGUG